CGGAGCGCCACCGCCUGGUGCUUCGACGGGCCCGCGGUGUUCUGGAAGGUUAUGUCCCUGGCCAAGAACCCGUCCCCAACUACAGCUGCAAGCAUUUCAGAUCCAAUCAAAGAUCCGGAAGCGACCCGUUGUCUCGAGAUCUUAAGCGCACGUGGCAUUGUGAAAAUUUUCAAUAAACGACAAUUAUGACGGAAAGAGACAAGACAGAUUAGUUUCGAAAAGAACGAGCAGAGAAGAGCGAGAGGUACACACUUACCAACAGUUGCGGAGUUGAAUGUGGUGCUGCCGUCCACGACGUUUCUGCUUCCGGUGAUGAUGGUGCUGGUCCUCCCGUCUCCCAUGAACAUCAGGUUGGUCUUCUUCUUCGGGACCUCCACGUUUUCCCUGUACACCCCCGCCUUUAUCCUUAUAAUGUACCUCCUCGCGCUCCCCUCCGGCGCAGCCGCCACCGCUGCGGA
This is a long non-coding RNA of Syzygium oleosum, 458 nucleotides long. RefSeq lists it as uncharacterized. The record is from RefSeq and is a predicted model, not a curated record. Lineage: Eukaryota; Viridiplantae; Streptophyta; Magnoliopsida; Myrtales; Myrtaceae. The transcript is spliced from 2 exons.